RNAcentral lists this ribosomal RNA (468 nucleotides) under uncultured bacterium. Its description in RNAcentral is "partial 16S ribosomal RNA". It matches the Rfam family "Bacterial small subunit ribosomal RNA", at positions 28 to 507 of the family's 1533-position model. The record is from RNAcentral.
GACGAACGCUGGCGGCGUGCUUAACACAUGCAAGUCGAACGGAAAGGCCCUGCUUUUGUGGGGUGCUCGAGUGGCGAACGGGUGAGUAACACGCGAGUAACCUGCCCUUGACUUUGGGAUAACUUCAGGAAACUGGGGCUAAUACCGGAUAGGAGCUCCUGCUGCAUGGUGGGGGUUGGAGAGUUUCGGCGGUGGGGGAUGGAUUCGCGGCUUAUCAGCUUGUUGGUGGGGUAGUGGCUGACCAAGGCUUUGACGGGUAGCCGGCCUGAGAGGGGGACCGGCCACAUUGGGACUGAGAUACGGCCCAGACUCCUACGGGAGGCAGAAGUGGGGAAUAUUGCACAAUGGGCGGAAGCCUGAUGCAGCAACGCCGCGUGCGGGAUGACGGCCUUCGGGUUGUAAACCGCUUUCGCCUGUGACGAAGCGUGAGUGACGGUAAUGGGUAAAGAAGCACCGGCUAACUACGUG